CAAAUAUAACACAUCAAUCAAUCAUAGGAACAUACAUUGUAAUUUAACAAAACAUGUUCAGCAGAUAUGAUAAACAAUAGAACACGAACAUGUAAUACUGUAACAUGUGUACUGUUAUUAAGCAUUGUGUUGUCAUCAUCAAAAACUAGUUUGAUAUAGAGUCUGUGUUGUCAACAAUCUCAACAAAAAUCACCACACGCACACACCCCAACGAGAACACAAAACACUCAGAGAAAGAAUUUGUAUUUAUUUCUCUACAAACUGUACAAUUUUCCACACCUCCAAGGGAGCCUCAUUCCUCCUCCACAAGAUAACAAAAUCCUGAGUUUACAAAAGAAUUCCAAAACUACUCUACAACAAAACAAUAACUCUCUUAUAUGAGCUCUUUUCUCGCCAUUUUAAUUGUUAUUCCAGUUAGGAUUCAUUAACUCUUCUCUCCCUCUCUCAUAACUCUUCUUUUCCUCUCAUAAACCCUCCAUAUCCUAUCAAACACCAAACCAUCAAGACCCAUCAGAGACCAUCCUUUCUAGAGGGAACCAGCAAAACCUCCUACAUAUGCAAAUCUCACUUUAUAAGU
RNAcentral lists this long non-coding RNA (577 nucleotides) under Vigna radiata. RNAcentral's name for it is "long non-coding RNA (VRAD_LNC000845)". The record is from RNAcentral. Lineage: Eukaryota; Viridiplantae; Streptophyta; Magnoliopsida; Fabales; Fabaceae.